UUCCCUGCGUAGUUCGUGUAGUCUGGAAUUUUAGAACCAACAUUUAGAUUAAAGGGAGUCCGCCUUUAAGCGCCUGCGUGUAUGCUUGCUUUUAAGUAAGAAACCCAUAAAUCGUUUAACAAGACACCCACCUGUUUUUGACAGGCUCUUAAAAUUUCUUUCAUCUUACGGCUAAUGUGGGGCUU
Molecule: non-coding RNA, 185 nt
Filed under: human gut metagenome
Description: 6S / SsrS RNA
Rfam family: 6S / SsrS RNA
About the family: E. coli 6S RNA was the first non coding RNA to be sequenced, but its function was unknown until recently. It consists of 184 nucleotides that fold into an extended hairpin structure with a large single-stranded internal bulge.
Source: RNAcentral